Molecule: transfer RNA, 61 nt
Filed under: Capsaloides cristatus
Lineage: Eukaryota; Metazoa; Platyhelminthes; Monogenea; Capsalidea; Capsalidae
Description: tRNA-Gln
Source: RNAcentral
UAUAGUAAGGUGUUUUGGCAUUUUGUAUUUUGGUUACAAGGGUGAGUUGUUUCUGCUAUAG